UUGACCAAUCUGUGAAAUCAGAAAAAAAGGGAACUCAUUAAAAAAGACAACAAACUCAUGACUAUUCUCCAAGAAGAUAAAAGCACUGUAGUUGUAUUUAGGGAGAAGAGAAAGCAAGACAUGAUGACACAAGUCAGAAUUCAACUUUAGUAUCCUAACUUACAAAUGCCAGCUCAACUACUAAACAUGAGAAAAUGGUGCCUUGAUGUUAAUUAAGGCUGAAAUAACACUACAUCAGUAGUUGACGGUGAAGGAAUAAAAGUAAAAAAAGUCCACAAAACCUUUACUGACAUCAGUACAUGCAGCAUAAAAUGCACCAGCCAGAAGUUAACUGUUCAAGGACUUGACAACUGAGAAUGAUUAUGUCUAAUAAAUUAAAUAUUUGUCCUAGAAAAGUCUCUAUCUUAUCCAUGUUAUAGCAAGGUAUGGGUCUGUCACAGGACUGAAUAUAAAUUGUUAUUAAGGGUUCGGAUGAAUAGGCCAUUGCUGUGGGUACAAGAUAUUCUAUUAGUAUAAACACCUAGACACCAUCAGAACACAAUAUAACAGCAUGCAGGAAGCUGGGCGUGAAUGUAGUUCUGCACUGGCACCAUAACUAAUCCUGCAGAGGAAGAAAGGCCAGGUAAAGGAACUUCAUGAGGCAGAUACCCCAGGAAAGGAGUACAGAGCAAGAUUCAGGUGGUCACAACUCAGUUUCUCUCCCAGGAACAUAUAUGCCAAUUAAAAGAGAGGACUUCACUACAGCCUUCCUGAUACCGUCCCCUACCCCAUCCAGCUAAGAGCAGCAGUAAAAGGAAAUAUGGAUAGGCAGCAACAGAAACAAGGGAACGGAUCUUCAAGGUUAUGUAAAUCCAAUGACUUUUAUAGGCACCAGGACUGUGCAUAAAGGGUAAAUUAUUUUUGAAAUGAGAAUUCUAUAGAUUUGCACCUCCAGGUUUCAUAAAUGCCUCUGACAAUCUGAGAAGUAAUUUUAGACAUGCUCCCAAAGCAGCUCUGAAGAGCUCCUGGGAGAGCAAGAAAAUGAGUACAUGACUUUACUGUCAACUAUCUGUCCAUUUAAGUCCUAAAAAUCUAUUUUUUUUUCUCUUUGAGUCUCAUUUGAUUCCCAACCAUCUUUCAAGAAUAUAUGCCAGAAGAAUUCUAAGAGCAAUCAUUAUAAAGCAACAAUCAAGGUAACAAGGCAAAUUACACUCUCUUUAGAGCUUCUCAUUAGGAUAGCAAAGAAAGACACAUCCCAUGCACCUGAUAUCACAAAAAAGAAUAUAAUUUCUAACAGCAGGUAGAGAAAACAGCUUUUGAGUGGGAAAGAAUAUCUACUUUCUGUCUUUCAGAUUAUGGAUUUAUACUGCUCCCUUCUGGGAAUUCUUUGGAUAACACAACAUGACCACACACUAAAGUUUUCAAGAGUACUAAUUUCAGAUUCAACAUCAGAGAUAUGACUGCAAAUUGUCAUGCACAUUAUUUUAUGCAAUAUUAACACUUUAAUUUAUGCUGAUACAUUCUUAUCAGGUGGCCAAUGCUGAUAGGGAACUCAUGUAGCCCCAAGUCAAUCAUUUUCAUCUUUAGAUAGUUCUGACAAAGUUCUUUCUGAUACUGAUCUAUAAUCUUCCUAUAACUUGUAGGAUGUUGACACUUUCUGAGUAACUUACUAUCCACCUUGAAAACAGACCUCACAAAAGAUGAAAUGGAUGGAGGCUAUACAGAAGUAGCAGCUGUGGGAUCACACGAGAAGGAGAAAUACUACUACUAGAAGGAGAAAUAACAUAGAAGUUAAAGGAAUACGCUAAAAGGUGACCGGACUUGGCCAACUUAGGACAAGGCACCCCUGAGCUGGACUUGGACCUGGAACCUGAUCCUCAAGUGAUAAACCUAUUCCUUCCCUGAGUUUUCCUAAAUCACAGGCUGCCAUUCAUUAGUAGGUUAUGAAAGAAUUAAGUGGGAUGUGACUAAAAUUACUUUUUUUACAGAAAAUAGGAUGAAAUAACAAAAUAGGGUAAAGCACAUGUUAGGAAUAUUAUUUUCUGAAACUUUUGUUUCACUUAUAUUUUGAGUGGCAAAGUAAAUUUAUUUUUACAGUAGAUUGAGAAUUACUCCCUGAGAUAAUACCACUGCCACUUACCAUUACUAAGGAAGCCACAUUUUUACUGAUAUACCUCCCAUACAGGCCAUCCUGGCACCCAAAGGAUUUUUCAAUCAACUGUAGCUACUGAUCAAGUUAAGAGAACUAUCUUACCUUGAAGAAAUCUCAAGGCAAUCCAACAAAUCAUUAUAGGUCUAAGUUAAACAAUAAUUCAUUCUACUGUUCCCCUCCUAUGAGUAAUAAAUGCUAGACACCUACUGUUUCCAUAGUGUGCUCUGAGAUUACUUCCAGAAUCGAGCAGAUUUUCAACAUUAAACAUCUUCCACUGGUAUCAUUAAAUAAAUGCAAAUAUAAGUUGCAUUCCCUGGAUCUUUUCCAAUAUUUAAAUUACUAACAAUGGCAUUACUAUUUUUUAAAGGCAAAAUGAGAUGUGCAUCUAAAUUUGAGCUAAA
Molecule: non-coding RNA, 2532 nt
Organism: Microcebus murinus (gray mouse lemur)
Lineage: Eukaryota; Metazoa; Chordata; Mammalia; Primates; Cheirogaleidae
Source: RefSeq, a predicted model, not a curated record